UACGUAGGGUGCAAGCGUUGUUCGGAAUUACUGGGCGUAAAGGGCGAGUAGGCGGCCUUCUAAGUCAGACGUGAAAUCCCCCGGCUUAACCUGGGGAACUGCGUCUGAUACUGGGAGGCUUGAGUAUGGGAGAGGGAUGUAGAAUUCCAGGUGUAGCGGUGAAAUGCGUAGAUAUCAGGAGGAACACCUGUGGUGUAGACAGCUUACUGGACCAUUUCUGACGCUGAGACACGAAAGCGUGGGUAGCAAACAGG
Molecule: ribosomal RNA, 254 nt
Filed under: uncultured bacterium
Lineage: Bacteria
Description: partial 16S ribosomal RNA
Rfam family: Bacterial small subunit ribosomal RNA
Source: RNAcentral